Molecule: long non-coding RNA, 1642 nt
Organism: Oncorhynchus masou masou (cherry salmon)
Lineage: Eukaryota; Metazoa; Chordata; Actinopteri; Salmoniformes; Salmonidae
Exons: 2
Source: RefSeq, a predicted model, not a curated record
UCUUUUUAAGUGGGAGAACUUGCACAAUUGGUGGCUGACUAAAUACUUUUUUCGCCCCACUGUAGUUGAAUAGGGUUCGGUUUGAGAGGAAGACAAUAACUUGCACGCUGUUUAAACUCCAGCCUGUGAGUAAGGAGUAAGUGGUGCCCAUUCAGUGUACCUGCAGUAUAACCCAGUGUCCUUCUCUAGCUGCCAUGUUCAGAGCAGCCUCGGCCACCACCUCCUGGCCCUGACCCAGAGACACGUUGUGGAACUUCCCGUUGUCAAAGAGCUUCCACAUCUUUGAGGGGGUCGACUCCCGGGGAGAGGAUGAAGAACAUGGGAGUAGACGAGCUGCUCUCCUCAAAUGAUACAGCGAACUCCACGCUCCUCCCCUCCACGUACUUUGUACCCAUCUUCUCCUCCACAAAGGUACUACAACACACAUAACAAACACUCAACAUUACCAGAACAAACAUCUGCUUCCUUUACACUGGUGUAUGUGUGCGUGUCUUGUACCUGACUGCGUAGGACAUCCGGUCCGGUCUCAUACACCUCAUCAUGCAGAGUUUCUGGAGGCCAGUCUUGUUCUUCCACUCCUGAGGAAACUUUUCCUUCUCCGGAGCCUCCGACUCAACAAACUUCUUCCAGCGCUUUGCAGAUCCCUCCAUGUCCCGGUCCAGGUUCUUAAACUCAUCAAACUCCGACAGGGCCUGACACACACACAUACAUACACAAACCUCUAUUACUCAGUUCUGCAGGUGGAUAGUGUGUGUCAGUAGAGUGUGUGUGUGUGAUUGUCUGUACACUCUCGGAAAUAAAGGUGUACAAACGCUUGUCACUGUAGUGAUUUGUAUCUUUAGUCAUAGGUACAUCAAUGUACCCUUGCCUUUUUAGGGUACCACCACAUUGACAAGAUCAUGUGUUCCUUUUAAGUGGCAAAAAGGUUUUUGGGUGUUGUUUUAACACUGUAGGGUGUAAAGCCUUUUUGCAUAUUUCCCAGGAUGUCUUUCAAGUAAAUCUGAGUUACCAGUACCACCCAUGACUGUUUUUGCUAGUGACUGAGACAUGGUUGUGGCUUUCAGUUCUGUAGCCUUCACUAAAUUAAUAUUUGAUCAUUGAAAUUAAACUCUUUAUGACAACACAUUACAUACAGGUAACUGCCAAAAUAAUGGAAACACUUCAGUAAAUGAGGGACACAAAGUAUAUUGAAAGCAUGUGCUUCCACACAGGUGUGAUUCCUGAGUUAAUUAAGCAAUUAACACCCCAUCAUCCCACAUGAAAUACUACAGUUUACUAUAGAAUACUACAGUAAUUACUAUAGAAUUCUAUAGCAAUGUCAGCCAUGACCUUAGAAAUCUCUGUUUUCUAUAUAUUUUGGUUAGGUCAGGGUGUGACUAGUGUGGGUACUCUAGUUUUUGUAUGUCUAGGGUUUUUGUAGGUCUAGGGGUUUUUGUAGGUCUAUGUUGACCUGAUAUGGUUCCCAAUCAGAGACAGCUAUUUAUCGUUGUCUCUGAUUGGGGAUCAUAUUUAGGCACCCCUUUUUCCCCAAUUUCUAGUGUGGGAUCUUGACUAUGUAUAGUUGCCUGUCAGCACUAUUUUGUAUAGCGUUUUGUUUGUUUUGUUUAGUGAGUUUCUGUUUAUUAAAAUAUGUGGAACGCUG